UCACCAGAUUUGCAUGUGGUUUGCUGUAGUUGCGUGUCCCAAGUUACAUUUUUUGCUGCUCCCAAAUAAACGCGUUUUGUUGGUAAAUAAUUUGCUGUUCUGUUGUUUUAAGUUAACGCUACAUGGAGGUCCCACAGAGAUCCAGAGAAGAACGCUGACAACUCCGAGGCUGGUGAACAAACAGGUGUCGCUACCUUGGAGCCCACGGAACUCCUGCUUUCUUGCUGACCCUGAAAUCUGAGGGAAAUGAAGACCUUAAGCAUCACACCUUACAACCUGAAUAUUCCAUCUAUUGGAAAAGACACCUCCAGAAGGGCUCUCUUCAACCUCGCUGGAAAGGCCCCUAUCAGGAGCUGCCUGGAGGGGUUAGUUCUGUGCAGGGGAAGGAGUCCUACACAGCGUGCCCUGCACCCAUGCCUGGCUGCGCCUAACCAGUGAGGGUGCUGCUCUCUGAAGGCUGGAUUUUGGAGCAGAAAGCAAGCACGGGCCAAACUGGUUUUAACUUGCAAACCAGCAGAAAUGAUAGGAAAGAUUCCCAAGCUAGAGCUGCAAAGCCUCUGAUGUCCUAAAGAAGGUAAGCCUCCUAUUUGGAACAUUAGUCCAAAAGGGACAGAGUCAAACGAAAUCCCUAAGGAAACAAUCAUAGUUCAUUUGGGACCUUCUUUUUUUCCACCCACUUUAAUUAAAAAGUCAGAUAACAAAGCUGUAACUUAUUUCCGAUUAAAUAUUGAGAUGAGCAUAAUCCACAUUUGCUGCCAAUCAAGGUAUUUUAAAG
Long non-coding RNA from Aethalodelphis obliquidens (Pacific white-sided dolphin), 775 nucleotides. RefSeq lists it as uncharacterized. The transcript has 4 exons. The record is from RefSeq and is a predicted model, not a curated record. NCBI's taxonomy places the organism in Eukaryota, Metazoa, Chordata, Mammalia, Artiodactyla, Delphinidae.